Molecule: non-coding RNA, 30 nt
Filed under: Rattus norvegicus (Norway rat)
Lineage: Eukaryota; Metazoa; Chordata; Mammalia; Rodentia; Muridae
Source: RNAcentral
UGACCAUCAUAAACGUUGACAAAGAGGAGU